This is a long non-coding RNA of Mobula hypostoma (lesser devil ray), 687 nucleotides long. RefSeq lists it as uncharacterized. NCBI's taxonomy places the organism in Eukaryota, Metazoa, Chordata, Chondrichthyes, Myliobatiformes, Myliobatidae. The record is from RefSeq and is a predicted model, not a curated record. The transcript is spliced from 4 exons.
GCCUCACAAAACAGGAUCCCUCUGUUCCUCUGCAACUAUUGCAUAGAGUAACCAUCAAAUGGUUAUACAGCAUAAGUAAAGAUUCAGAAUUUGUUGGAGAGGGAAUAUUGUACUGAAGGAAGAAUACCUCAUCACAGGCCCCCAACAUGAUUCAUCCACCAGUCUCUUAAAAUUAAAUUGACUGGUCAACUUUGAUAGAGGCUUUUUCCCAGGGCUGAAAUGGCUAGCACAAGAGGGCAUAGUUUUAAGGUGCUUGGAAGCAGGAACAGAGGAGAUGUCAGGGGUUCUCUUUUCAUGAGUUUUACCAGAUCCUGAUGUUUCAAAGCUAUCAGUCCACAAGAACUUCCCAACUCCGCUGCUUUAUCCAAGAGGUCAACUCUUGGACAAAGAGCGGGAAUAGGAAAUUUCACUAUGGGGGUCAUCAGCCAAAUGAACCCAAUCCUGAGGCAAGGAUAUUCACACCUCCAGUGGGAAAGUGGCAUUUCGAAUAUCAAAUGUGUCAAGAUUUAUGGCCAAUCUUCCCUCCUUUGUCUUUUUGAAUAUAUUCUUUGUUUGGUAUCUGGAUCCCCUUCUCUAUACACUCCCACCACCCACCUACUCGCACCCCUCUCUUCCUCCCAGAUCGUUUUUUUUCGAGAAAGCUUAUAAAAUGCAUGGUUCGAACUUACCCAAGCCGUUGGACAGCAG